This 350-nucleotide ribosomal RNA is filed under the name uncultured bacterium. Its description in RNAcentral is "bacterial SSU rRNA". It matches the Rfam family "Bacterial small subunit ribosomal RNA", at positions 355 to 696 of the family's 1533-position model. The record is from RNAcentral.
UGGGGAAUAUUGCACAAUGGACGCAAGUCUGAUGCAGCAACGCCGCGUGAGUGAUGAAGGCCCUUGGGUUGUAAAGCUCUUUCGGCUAGAAAGAAGGCAGUUAUGGUUAAUACCCGUAAUUGUUGACGGUACUAGAAGAAGAAGCACCGGCUAACUCCGUGCCAGCAGCCGCGGUAAUACGGAGGGUGCAAGCGUUGUUCGGAUUGACUGGGCGUAAAGCGCACGCAGGCGGGUUUUUAAGUUGGAUGUGAAAGCCCAGGGCUCAACCUUGGAACUGCAUCCAAAACUGGAAAUCUUGAAUGUUUGAGAGGUUGGUGGAAUUUGUGGUGUAGGAGUGAAAUCCGUAGAUA